UUCCGGUAGCCUCCACCGUUUUCCGUUAACUUUUUAGCGCUCUCCGGCAGCGCAAAAGUGCAAUUAUGCAUUGCGAAUAUGUUCCUAGGACAUGCUCUCGUGCGUUGUAUGCACGCCCAAUGAUACUGCUUUUCGUGAAUUCCUGAGCUUUCAUCCACAGGGCACUGAGGAGAUAUUUCUGUCAAUUCUGGCAUCUUGAAAACUGAGAGAAACUCACUGUAUCACAAGCUGUAGUAGGUGGACUACUGUGAAAAGCUUGAAUACUCCCACUCAUGUCGCCUUCCAAAUACUGUGAGGUGCAAAACAUGCUGCAACAUGGCUAGCUUAUGAAGAAAUUCACUUCCAUUAUAAAAUCAGUGUUUGGUUUAUAACCCGCCCCGAGACUCACAACUCUUCUUAAUCCAUUAUCUUAAGACAAUUGGUAAGCAGACUCUUAGUGCAGCUAUCAAUGCGACA
Long non-coding RNA from Ipomoea triloba (trilobed morning glory), 456 nucleotides. RefSeq lists it as uncharacterized. The transcript has 3 exons. Lineage: Eukaryota; Viridiplantae; Streptophyta; Magnoliopsida; Solanales; Convolvulaceae. The record is from RefSeq and is a predicted model, not a curated record.